RNAcentral lists this small RNA (259 nucleotides) under Bacillus subtilis. RNAcentral describes it as "BsrG". It matches the Rfam family "BsrG". From Rfam's summary of the family: bsrE, bsrG and bsrH pair through intermolecular interactions with antisense sRNAs. SR4 interaction with the 3'UTR of bsrG RNA promotes bsrG degradation and inhibits its translation. Lineage: Bacteria; Bacillati; Bacillota; Bacilli; Caryophanales; Bacillaceae. The record is from RNAcentral.
AUAUGUAGAUCGGAGUUCAAGGGGGGCGACUCACUCCAUUUCCUAUAAGGAAAGGAGGUGAGAUUAUGACAGUAUACGAAAGCUUAAUGAUUAUGAUAGCUUUUGCAUCUUUGAUAAUUUCGGUAUUGUCAUUCAACCGUAAGAAAUAACCCCCCUUUGAGCUUAGUCGGCGAAAGGGUAAGGUUAUAACAACUUCCUUUAAGAGUCAACUCCUUUGAGGUCGGUCUACUAUAAGACCGUUGGUGUUGUAGCACCUUCG